This 1005-nucleotide ribosomal RNA is filed under the name uncultured bacterium. Its description in RNAcentral is "bacterial SSU rRNA". It matches the Rfam family "Bacterial small subunit ribosomal RNA", at positions 355 to 1375 of the family's 1533-position model. The record is from RNAcentral.
UGGGGAAUAUUGGGCAAUGGGGGGAACCCUGACCCAGCAACGCCGCGUGGAGGAAGAAGGUUUUCGGAUCGUAAACUCCUGUCCUUGGAGACGAGUAGAAGACGGUAUCCAAGGAGGAAGCCCCGGCUAACUACGUGCCAGCAGCCGCGGUAAUACGUAGGGGGCAAGCGUUGUCCGGAAUAAUUGGGCGUAAAGGGCGCGUAGGCGGCUCGGUAAGUCUGGAGUGAAAGUCCUGCUUUUAAGGUGGGAAUUGCUUUGGAUACUGUCGGGCUUGAGUGCAGGAGAGGUUAGUGGAAUUCCCAGUGUAGCGGUGAAAUGCGUAGAGAUUGGGAGGAACACCAGUGGCGAAGGCGACUAACUGGACUGUAACUGACGCUGAGGCGCGAAAGUGUGGGGAGCAAACAGGAUUAGAUACCCUGGUAGUCCACACUGUAAACGAUGAAUGCUAGGUGUAGGGGGUAUCGACCCCUUCUGUGCCGCAGUCAACACAAUAAGCAUUCCGCCUGGGGAGUACGGCCGCAAGGUUGAAACUCAAAGGAAUUGACGGGGGCCCGCACAAGCAGCGGAGCAUGUGGUUUAAUUCGACGCAACGCGAAGAACCUUACCAGGUCUUGACAUCCACUUAAACUUACAGAGAUGUAAGGUGUGCUUGCACAAAGUGAGACAGGUGGUGCAUGGUUGUCGUCAGCUCGUGUCGUGAGAUGUUGGGUUAAGUCCCGCAACGAGCGCAACCCUUAUCUUCAGUUACUAACGCGUGAAGGUGAGGACUCUGAAGAGACUGCCGGGGACAACUCGGAGGAAGGUGGGGACGACGUCAAAUCAUCAUGCCCCUUAUGACCUGGGCUACACACGUGCUACAAUGGCCACGACAGAGAGAAGCGAAAUCGCAAGGUAGAGCGGAACUCAAAAAAGUGGUCCCAGUUCGGAUUGUGGGCUGCAACCCGCCCACAUGAAGUCGGAGUUGCUAGUAAUCGCGGAUCAGCAUGCCGCGGUGAAUACGUUCCC